Molecule: ribosomal RNA, 424 nt
Filed under: uncultured bacterium
Lineage: Bacteria
Description: bacterial SSU rRNA
Rfam family: Bacterial small subunit ribosomal RNA
Source: RNAcentral
ACAGCAGCCGCGGUAACACGGGGGGAGCGAACGUUGUUCGGAAUCACUGGGCGUAAAGGGCGUGUAGGCGGUCCGGUAAGUGAGAUGUGAAAGCCCUCGGCUCACCCGAGGAACUGCAUCUCAUACUGCUGGACUUGAGUGCGGGAGAGGAUGGGGGAAUUCCUGGUGUAGCGGUGAAAUGCGUAGAUAUCAGGAGGAACACCGGUGGCGAAGGCGCCCAUCUGGCCCGUUACUGACGCUGAGGCGCGAAAGCUAGGGGAGCAAACGGGAUUAGAUACCCCGGUAGUCCUAGCCGUAAACGGUGGGCACUAGGUGUUGGAGGCAUUGACCCCUCCAGUGCCGCAGCUAACGCAUUAAGUGCCCCGCCUGGGGAGUACGGUCGCAAGACUGAAACUCAAAGGAAUUGACGGGGGCCCGCACAAGG